GCGAGGCUGCCCGGUGCGUCAGGCACGUUCAUCCCCGGGGCCAAUAAGUACUCCCAGGGAGCUGGCUCUGUCGGAACCGUGGUUCCGGUAUUUCCGGCGCCCACCUGCUCUGCAGGCCUUGGGAGGAUGACAUCGUCAACGGCCAGGGCGGCUUCGCA
This 158-nucleotide non-coding RNA is filed under the name Acidiphilium rubrum. RNAcentral describes it as "6S / SsrS RNA". It matches the Rfam family "6S / SsrS RNA". Rfam says of the family: E. coli 6S RNA was the first non coding RNA to be sequenced, but its function was unknown until recently. It consists of 184 nucleotides that fold into an extended hairpin structure with a large single-stranded internal bulge. Lineage: Bacteria; Pseudomonadati; Pseudomonadota; Alphaproteobacteria; Acetobacterales; Acidocellaceae. The record is from Rfam by way of RNAcentral.